Molecule: ribosomal RNA, 223 nt
Filed under: Pseudomonas aeruginosa
Lineage: Bacteria; Pseudomonadati; Pseudomonadota; Gammaproteobacteria; Pseudomonadales; Pseudomonadaceae
Description: partial 16S ribosomal RNA
Rfam family: Bacterial small subunit ribosomal RNA
Source: RNAcentral
CGCAGCUAACGCGAUAAGUCGACCGCCUGGGGAGUACGGCCGCAAGGUUAAAACUCAAAUGAAUUGACGGGGGCCCGCACAAGCGGUGGAGCAUGUGGUUUAAUUCGAAGCAACGCGAAGAACCUUACCUGGCCUUGACAUGCUGAGAACUUUCCAGAGAUGGAUUGGUGCCUUCGGGAACUCAGACACAGGUGCUGCAUGGCUGUCGUCAGCUCGUGUCGUG